This 439-nucleotide unclassified non-coding RNA is filed under the name Mentha spicata subsp. condensata. RNAcentral's name for it is "partial external transcribed spacer". Lineage: Eukaryota; Viridiplantae; Streptophyta; Magnoliopsida; Lamiales; Lamiaceae. The record is from RNAcentral.
GUUUUGCGUGAUGGAUCCCUGCUCGGGCAGCGACAUCAUAUCAUCCACGUCUCUUCAAUUGUAGGCACGAGCAUGUGCUCGGCCGGCGUUGGUUUUCCUGUGCUGUAUACCUGUAUCGAAGGCAAUUCACCGGUUAAAUUKUACCUUUCUCACCUUGUGCUGCUGUCCAUUGCGGGCUAGCGGCGCGGGGUGGCCCGAAUAGCACACGCCGUGUGUCCCAUCCCUUUAACCCCCAGUAAGGUUACACGGGAUGACGAUCGACGGCUUAAUGCUCGAACUCCUGGGUACGGAAUAUCGUGUGGGUACUCGUGGGCCUCGGCCUCCGAGCACCACUAGCAAGCGUUCUACGCUUCAUGCGGACGACUGUCGGUUCGGCCUCUGGCUCGGGCUCUCGUGGCUCGGUUUUGAGUCGUGCCGACGUCGAUGAGGAAUGCUACCU